GACGAACGCUGGCGGCGUGCCUAAUACAUGCAAGUCGAACGAGAGCGCCCGGUGCUUGCACUGGUCAAUCUAGUGGCGAACGGGUGAGUAACACGUGGGUAACCUGCCCAUCAGAGGGGGAUAACAUUCGGAAACGGAUGCUAAAACCGCAUAGGUCUUCGAACCGCAUGGUUUGAAGAGGAAAAGAGGCGCAAGCUUCUGCUGAUGGAUGGACCCGCGGUGCAUUAGCUAGUUGGUGAGGUAACGGCUCACCAAGGCCGUGAUGCAUAGCCGACCUGAGGGGGUGAUCGGACAGAUUGUGACUGAGGCUGGGCCCAAACUCCUACAGUGAGCAACAGUAGGGAAUCUUCCGCGAUGGACGCGAGUCUGACGGAGCAACGUCGCGUGAGUGAUGAUGGUUUUCUGAUCGUAAAACUCUGUUGUUAUAAGAGAUGAAGUGCUAUAGUAACUGUGAGCAUCUUGACAGUAUCGAAACAGAAAGCCACGGCUAACUACGUG
RNAcentral lists this ribosomal RNA (498 nucleotides) under uncultured bacterium. RNAcentral's name for it is "partial 16S ribosomal RNA". It matches the Rfam family "Bacterial small subunit ribosomal RNA", at positions 28 to 507 of the family's 1533-position model. The record is from RNAcentral.